CCUACGGGAGGCAGCAGUAGGGAAUAUUGCUCAAUGGGGGAAACCCUGAAGCAGCAACGCCGCGUGGAGGAUGAAGGUUUUAGGAUUGUAAACCCCUUUUGUUAGAGAAGAUUAUGACGGUAUCUAACGAAUAAGCACCGGCUAACUCCGUGACAGCAGCCGCGGUAAUACGGCGGGAGCAAGCGUUACUCGGAAUCACUGGGCGUACAGAGUGCGUAGGCGGGGUAAUAAGUCAGAUGUGAAAUCAUGUAGCUUAACUACAGAACUGCAUUUGAAACUGGUACUCUGGAGUGUGGGAGAGGUAGGUGGAAUUCUUGGUGUAGGGGUGAAAUGCGUAGAUAUCAAGAGGAAUACUCAUUGCGAAGGCGACCUGCUGGAACAUUACUGACGCUGAUGCACGAAAGCGUGGGGAGCAAACAGGAUUAGAUACCCGGGUAGUC
Molecule: ribosomal RNA, 440 nt
Filed under: uncultured bacterium
Lineage: Bacteria
Description: partial 16S ribosomal RNA
Rfam family: Bacterial small subunit ribosomal RNA
Source: RNAcentral